Molecule: long non-coding RNA, 2343 nt
Organism: Symphalangus syndactylus (siamang)
Lineage: Eukaryota; Metazoa; Chordata; Mammalia; Primates; Hylobatidae
Source: RefSeq, a predicted model, not a curated record
GUUUCACCGUGGUCUCGAUCUCCUGACCUCGUGAUCCGCCCGCCUCGGCCUCCCAAAGUGCUGGGAUUACAAGCGUGAGCUACCGCGCCCGGCCGCUGCAAGAAUUCUUUAUGUGGCUAUCCUCUCCAUAGUUCUCUGACCAGAAUUGCAAGGGCAAAAAUAGAACUUCUAGCUCUAUUUGUUUGUAUCCUUUGAAAUCAGAACUUAUCCUUAGAACCAGUCAGUUAAAUAAUGCGGACUAUGCCUAUAAUCCAAACACUUUAGGAGGCUGAGGCAGGCAGAUCACGAGGUCAGGAGUUCGAGACCAGCCUGGCCAAUAUGGUGAAACUCCGUCUCUACCAAAAAUACAAAAAUUAGCCGGGUGUCGGCCAGGUGCGGUGGCUCACGCCUGUAAUCCCAGCACUUUGGGAGGCCGAGGCGGGCGGAUCACGAGGUCAGGAGAUAGAGACCAUCCUGGCUAACACGGUGAAACCCCGUCUCUACUAAAAAAAAAAAAAAAUACAAAAAAAUUAGCCGGGCGAGGUGGCGGGUGCCUGUGGUCCCAGCUACUCGGGAGGCUGAGGGAGGAGAAUGGCAUGAACCCGGGAGGUGGAGCUUGCAGUGAGCCAAGAUCAUGCCACUGCACUCCAGCCUGGGCGACAGAGUGAGACUCCAUCUCAAAAAAAAAAAAAAAAAAAAAAAAAAAUUAGCUGGGCAUGGUGGUGCACGCCCAUGCCUGUAGUCCCAGCUACUCGGGAGGCAGAGGCAGAAGAAUCGCUUGAACCCAGGAGGCGGAGGUUGCAGUGAGCCGAGAUACUGCCACUACACUCCAGUCUGGGCGACAGAGCAAGACUCCAUCUCAAAAAAACAAAACAAAAUAAAAUAAUAAUGUGGGCUAUUCAGAAGAAAAAGUCAGUGACAGACCAGAACCCAUUGGAUCAAGAGACCUGCAGGGAUUGUAACUCUUUACUCUGUGAGCAGCGGUGUUUCGUGCCCUGUCUCUGCCUGUGUGUUUUUACUAAGAAUUCCAGAAAUCCUAUAAUUUGUAAAUGGGAAACAGAGGAACCAGAUUCUUUUAUGGCUGAUAAGAAACAGUCUGUUUUAGAAACAUUUGUUUGGAAAGUAUUACUCAUGUAUUCACAAAGUCAUAUUUAUAACACUAGUCUGCUUUGACUGUAUUCAACAAAAGGCAGUUUCACCAUUAAUUUCAUAGUAAGCUUUUUUAAAGGAUUCUAGAUCUAAAUUGCCUAAGAAUGUUAACCACAUUCUUGUUUUAAACUCUCUAAUUUAAUACAUGUAAUGAUAAUAUAGUCAUUUGCCAGUUCUUUAAGGUAUUCAGGCAUUUGAGACAAGAAAGCUCUCUUGUAGAAUAGUCCAAUUGCUUUCUUAAACAGUACUGGUUUCAUUUAGACAGUUUCUAAGCCAGCAAAGGUGUCAAUUUUAAUGCCAACUUGACAGUUUAACAGUUUGUGUUUGUAAGCAGUUUAGCCUGAAUUACCCCAUACUGCUAUCGAGGAGAAUUGUUAGUAACAUCAAAGGUCAGAAUGCUUCAGGUGACUAAUAAGAACGGAAAGAGACUGAGUAGGUUUUUUGUUUCUUUUCCCUGUCUUUGAGUAACUUUGAAUGACUAAAAUUAGUAUGAAACUAGGUUUUGGACCCCCUUCUCACCUCACCCGGAUGUAAUGCCACCAAUUUCAAAUAACUAAAAUGUGACCAAUUACUUUGCUUCAAGUUCUAUACAAAUAUCUCUGAAAUCUGUAAGCCAUAUUUCAGCUAUUCUGGUUUUUAUAAUACAUUCUACCCUAAAUUAACCAAAGGACUUUUUAUUCAGUGUAUUCCAUGUUUCAGCAUAAGGAAAGUUUGUGCCUGAUAUGGCGAGAGAAAGAAGACUAUGGUAAUUUCAUUGUUACUUCAGGUCUCUUUCAAUCUGAAGGACUGGGUUGUCUGGAGAAUUGAACAUAGCCAAGCAAUAUUAUCAAUUAGUAAUGUCAUCUUAAAAAUGUUCAGUUUUACUAAGUUUUAUUCAGAAGAUCUAUGUAUUAUUAGAAAAAUGAAGUAUUUCUGAUAUGGAACAAAGAAAGUGGAAACUGGUACUUAAUGGGGGAAGCAAAAUUAGCUUGGACUAAAACGGACAUGUUUUGUUUUGUGAAUUCUACCUAAAUGUCUCUCUAUCCACAGAGAAACUAGUAUUACUUGAAGAUGUGAAAGUUCCUGUGGUAGCCAUACCUUGAAGCACAGUGUUUGUACAUAAGUAAAUAUUCUUGAUUCUAAAUUAAAUCCAGAUUUAACUAAUAUAUAUUAUUUUAUACCUUUGUUGUAUUAAAAUGUUUAAAAACACUAAAAAUAAAACAUUUGAAAGUUGGA